AUGGAAGAAGAAAUUGAUGAAACUGUGAGCUCAUUGGAUGAAAAAGAUGAUGAGGAGAGCGAAGAACAAAAGGAAGAAGAGCGGAUUGAUCACUCGUGCCCACCUUCUAAUGAGAGUAACUCUUCAACUCAUACAUUGGUUAAUUCCCCUUCGUUCUUACCGAAGGAUGAAUGCUAUGAUAAUUACCAUGAUCCUGUUGAUUCUUUUGAAAUAUCCCUUUUUGAUGAACUUGAUGAUUGCUAUGUUUGUGGCCAAGAUGCCAAUAUGAAUUAUGCUUAUGGAGAUGAACUUUCUAUAGUUCCUUAUAUUAAGAAUGAAAUUGUUGCGUUCUACUUCUACCACUACACAUGA
RNAcentral lists this ribosomal RNA (351 nucleotides) under Triticum aestivum (bread wheat). Its description in RNAcentral is "partial small subunit ribosomal RNA". The record is from RNAcentral. Lineage: Eukaryota; Viridiplantae; Streptophyta; Magnoliopsida; Poales; Poaceae.